UACGUAGGGUGCAAGCGUUGUCCGGAAUUAUUGGGCGUAAAGAGCUCGUAGGCGGUCUGUCGCGUCUGCUGUGAAAACUCGGGGCUUAACCCCGGGCCUGCAGUGGGUACGGGCAGACUAGAGUGCGGUAGGGGAGACUGGAAUUCCUGGUGUAGCGGUGAAAUGCGCAGAUAUCAGGAGGAACACCGGUGGCGAAGGCGGGUCUCUGGGCCGUAACUGACGCUGAGGUGCGAAAGCGUGGGGAGCAAACAGG
RNAcentral lists this ribosomal RNA (253 nucleotides) under uncultured bacterium. RNAcentral describes it as "partial 16S ribosomal RNA". It matches the Rfam family "Bacterial small subunit ribosomal RNA", at positions 524 to 776 of the family's 1533-position model. The record is from RNAcentral.